AUUGAACGCUGGCGGAUGCCUUACACAUGCCAGUUGGACGGCAGCGCGGGCUUCGGCCUGGCGGCGAGUGGCGAACGGGUGAGUAAUGCAUCGGAACGUGCCCAGUAGUGGGGGAUAGCCCGGCGAAAGCCGGAUUAAUACCGCCUACGACCUGAGGGUGAAAGCGGGGGACCGAAAGGCCUCGCGCCAUUGGAGCGGCCGAUGUCGGAUUAGCUAGUUGGUGGGGUAAAGGCUUACCAAGGCGACGAUCCGUAGCUGGUCUGAGAGGACGACCAGCCACACUGGGACUGAGACACGGCCCAGACUCCUACGGGAGGCAGCAGUGGGGAAUUUUGGACAAUGGGGGCAACCCUGAUCCAGCCAUGCCGCGUGCGGGAAGAAGGCCUUCGGGUUGUAAACCGCUUUUGUUCGGGAAGAAAUCCUCUGGGCUAAUACCCCGGGGGGAUGACGGUACCGGAAGAAUAAGCACCGGCUAACUACGUG
RNAcentral lists this ribosomal RNA (483 nucleotides) under uncultured bacterium. Its description in RNAcentral is "partial 16S ribosomal RNA". It matches the Rfam family "Bacterial small subunit ribosomal RNA", at positions 28 to 507 of the family's 1533-position model. The record is from RNAcentral.